Molecule: long non-coding RNA, 556 nt
Organism: Cicer arietinum (chickpea)
Lineage: Eukaryota; Viridiplantae; Streptophyta; Magnoliopsida; Fabales; Fabaceae
Source: RefSeq, a predicted model, not a curated record
GCAGGUCUGUAAAGCCAAAUACGAAGGGAGCUUAAGAAGAAGAGAGUAGUGGAGCUUAAGAGAUCUUUGGAGAAAUCCGAAGAUUCAAUUGAGUUAGUUGCAUAACUAUCUUCUUGUUUAAGCGAAGAUUAUGUCACAUGGACUUUGACACUAUAAGGUCAAAAAUUAGCGACCAAACAAUUAAUAUAGUGAUGGAUCUUUUCAGAGACAUGCUUCUCCUGGCCAACAAUGCUUUAGUCUUCUAUAGUAAGGAACACCGUGGACACCCGUCGUACCGUGGUGUGCACGAUCUAUUAGCCAAGUAUUGACUUAUUUGACGCUUUUGAUGAGAUGCUACUUCUGAAGUUAGGAGGGGAGCAAAUAUACGUCAGUCCAAUAAGAGACCAUGCCGAUUUGAUCCAGUACUUUGAGGUCCAGGAUAUGAAUGCAGAUUAAUAAUGCUAAGUGGUUUUAUAUAGCUGAGACACAUUGAGAAUGUUUGAUUUUGUUAUUUGGAUUUUGUAUUUUUAGUGGAUUGUUUUGGGUAUUAUUAAAUUUAUUAUAGUAUAUCACAACA